Molecule: ribosomal RNA, 461 nt
Filed under: Serratia bockelmannii
Lineage: Bacteria; Pseudomonadati; Pseudomonadota; Gammaproteobacteria; Enterobacterales; Yersiniaceae
Description: bacterial SSU rRNA
Rfam family: Bacterial small subunit ribosomal RNA
Source: RNAcentral
UUAAUUGAAGAGUUUGAUCAUGGCUCAGAUUGAACGCUGGCGGCAGGCUUAACACAUGCAAGUCGAGCGGUAGCACAAGGGAGCUUGCUCCCUGGGUGACGAGCGGCGGACGGGUGAGUAAUGUCUGGGAAACUGCCUGAUGGAGGGGGAUAACUACUGGAAACGGUAGCUAAUACCGCAUAACGUCGCAAGACCAAAGAGGGGGACCUUCGGGCCUCUUGCCAUCAGAUGUGCCCAGAUGGGAUUAGCUAGUAGGUGGGGUAAUGGCUCACCUAGGCGACGAUCCCUAGCUGGUCUGAGAGGAUGACCAGCCACACUGGAACUGAGACACGGUCCAGACUCCUACGGGAGGCAGCAGUGGGGAAUAUUGCACAAUGGGCGCAAGCCUGAUGCAGCCAUGCCGCGUGUGUGAAGAAGGCCUUCGGGUUGUAAAGCACUUUCAGCGAGGAGGAAGGUGGUGA